RNAcentral lists this ribosomal RNA (496 nucleotides) under uncultured bacterium. RNAcentral describes it as "bacterial SSU rRNA". It matches the Rfam family "Bacterial small subunit ribosomal RNA", at positions 29 to 517 of the family's 1533-position model. The record is from RNAcentral.
AACGAACGCUGGCGGCGCGCCUAAUACAUGCAAGUCGAGCGAGAAGACGUAGCAAUACGUUUGUAAAGCGGCGAACGGGUGAGGAAUACAUGGGUAACCUACCCUCGAGUGGGGAAUAACUAGCCGAAAGGUUAGCUAAUACCGCGUACGCUCCUUGGACUUCGGUUCAGGGAGGAAAGCGAUACCGUGGGUAUCGCGCUCUUGGAUGGGCUCAUGUCCUAUCAGCUUGUUGGUGAGGUAACGGCUCACCAAGGCUUCGACGGGUAGCUGGUCUGAGAGGACGAUCAGCCACACUGGCACUGCGACACGGGCCAGACUCCUACGGGAGGCAGCAGUAAGGAAUAUUGCGCAAUGGGCGAAAGCCUGACGCAGCGACGCCGCGUGGGGGAGUGAAGGUCUUCGGAUUGUAAACCCCUUUCGGGAGGGAAGAUGGAACGAGCAAUCGUUCGGACGGUACCUCCAGAAGCAGCCACGGCUAACUUCGUGCCAGCAGCCG